This 347-nucleotide ribosomal RNA is filed under the name uncultured rumen bacterium. RNAcentral describes it as "partial 16S ribosomal RNA". The record is from RNAcentral.
UAUUCCCCACUGCUGCCUCCCGUAGGAGUCUGGACCGUGUCUCAGUUCCAAUGUGGGGGACCUUCCUCUCAGAACCCCUAACCAUCGUCGCCUUGGUGGGCCGUUACCUCACCAACUAGCUAAUGGUACGCGAGCCAAUCCGUAGGCAAUGAAUCUAUUAAACAAAAACCAUGCGGUCUCUGUUGUUACGGAGUAUUACACGACGUUUCCAUCGACUAUCCUCCACCUACGGGCAUGUUGCUCACGCGUUACUCACCCUUUCGCCGGUCGCCGUCAGAGUAUUGCUACUCCACGCUGCCCCUCGACUUGCAUGUGUUAAGCCUGCCGCCAGCGUUCAUCCUGAGCCA